GCCUUCUUAGCUCAGUGGUAGGGCGUUGGUCUCGUCAACCAAAGGUCGAGAGAUCAAUCCUCUCAGUAGGCA
RNAcentral lists this transfer RNA (72 nucleotides) under Daphnia pulicaria. RNAcentral describes it as "tRNA-Thr". It matches the Rfam family "tRNA". Rfam says of the family: Transfer RNA (tRNA) molecules are approximately 80 nucleotides in length. Their secondary structure includes four short double-helical elements and three loops (D, anti-codon, and T loops). Further hydrogen bonds mediate the characteristic L-shaped molecular structure. tRNAs have two regions of fundamental functional importance: the anti-codon, which is responsible for specific mRNA codon recognition, and the 3' end, to which the tRNAs corresponding amino acid is attached (by aminoacyl-tRNA synthetases). tRNAs cope with the degeneracy of the genetic code in two manners: having more than one tRNA (with a specific anti-codon) for a particular amino acid; and 'wobble' base-pairing, i.e. permitting non-standard base-pairing at the 3rd anti-codon position. The record is from RNAcentral. Lineage: Eukaryota; Metazoa; Arthropoda; Branchiopoda; Diplostraca; Daphniidae.